GGUUAAGCGACUAAGCGUACACGGUGGAUGCCCUGGCAGUCAGAGGCGAUGAAGGACGUGCUAAUCUGCGAAAAGCGCCGGCGAGGUGAUAUGAACCUUUGACCCGGCGAUGUCCGAAUGGGGAAACCCAGUGCAAUCCGUUGCACUAUCGUUAACUGAAUACAUAGGUUAACGAGGCGAACCGGGGGAACUGAAACAUCUAAGUACCCCGAGGAAAAGAAAUCAACCGAGAUUCCCCCAGUAGCGGCGAGCGAACGGGGAGCAGCCCGGAGUCUGAAUCAGCUUGUGUGUUAGUGGAACGGUCUGGAAAGUCCGACGGUACAGGGUGAUAGUCCCGUACACGAAAGCACACUUGCUGUGAACUCGAAGAGUAGGGCGGGACACGUGGUAUCCUGUCUGAAUAUGGGGGGACCAUCCUCCAAGGCUAAAUACUCCUGACUGACCGAUAGUGAACCAGUACCGUGAGGGAAAGGCGAAAAGAACCCCGGCGAGGGGAGUGAAAAAGAACCUGAAACCGUGUACGUACAAGCAGUGGGAGCCUCUUUAUGGGGUGACUGCGUACCUUUUGUAUAAUGGGUCAGCGACUUAUAUUCUGUAGCAAGGUUAACCGUAUAGGGGAGCCGAAGGGAAACCGAGUCUUAACUGGGCGUUAAGUUGCAGGGUAUAGACCCGAAACCCGGUGAUCUAGCCAUGGGCAGGUUGAAGGUUGGGUAACACUAACUGGAGGACCGAACCGACUAAUGUUGAAAAAUUAGCGGAUGACCUGUGGCUGGGGGUGAAAGGCCAAUCAAACCGGGAGAUAGCUGGUUCUCCCCGAAAGCUAUUUAGGUAGCGCCUCGUGAAUUCAUCUUCGGGGGUAGAGCACUGUUUCGGCUAGGGGGCCAUCCCGGCUUACCAACCCGAUGCAAACUACGAAUACCGAAGAAUGUUAUCACGGGAGACACACGGCGGGUGCUAACGUCCGUCGUGAAGAGGGAAACAACCCAGACCGCCAGCUAAGGUCCCAAAGUCAUGGUUAAGUGGGAAACGAUGUGGGAAGGCACAGACAGCCAGGAUGUUGGCUUAGAAGCAGCCAUCAUUUAAAGAAAGCGUAAUAGCUCACUGGUCGAGUCGGCCUGCGCGGAAGAUGUAACGGGGCUAAACCAUGCACCGAAGCUGCGGCAGCGACGCUUAGGCGUUGUUGGGUAGGGGAGCGUUCUGUAAGCCGUUGAAGGUGUCCUGUGAGGGGUGCUGGAGGUAUCAGAAGUGCGAAUGCUGACAUAAGUAACGAUAAAGCGGGUGAAAAGCCCGCUCGCCGGAAGACCAAGGGUUCCUGUCCAACGUUAAUCGGGGCAGGGUGAGUCGACCCCUAAGGCGAGGCCGAAAGGCGUAGUCGAUGGGAAACAGGUUAAUAUUCCUGUACUUGGUGUUACUGCGAAGGGGGGACGGAGAAGGCUAUGUCAGCCGGGCGACGGUUGUCCCGGUUUAAGCAUGUAGGCGGAGGUUCCAGGUAAAUCCGGUACCUUAUUAACGCUGAGGUGUGAUGACGAGGCACUACGGUGCUGAAGUGAUAAAUGCCCUGCUUCCAGGAAAAGCCUCUAAGCAUCAGGUAACACGAAAUCGUACCCCAAACCGACACAGGUGGUCAGGUAGAGAAUACCAAGGCGCUUGAGAGAACUCGGGUGAAGGAACUAGGCAAAAUGGUGCCGUAACUUCGGGAGAAGGCACGCUGAUAUGUAGGUGAAGCCCCUGCGGGCGGAGCUGAAAUCAGUCGAAGAUACCAGCUGGCUGCAACUGUUUAUUAAAAACACAGCACUGUGCAAACACGAAAGUGGACGUAUACGGUGUGACGCCUGCCCGGUGCCGGAAGGUUAAUUGAUGGGGUUAGCGGCAACGCGAAGCUCUUGAUCGAAGCCCCGGUAAACGGCGGCCGUAACUAUAACGGUCCUAAGGUAGCGAAAUUCCUUGUCGGGUAAGUUCCGACCUGCACGAAUGGCGUAAUGAUGGCCAGGCUGUCUCCACCCGAGACUCAGUGAAAUUGAACUCGCUGUGAAGAUGCAGUGUACCCGCGGCAAGACGGAAAGACCCCGUGAACCUUUACUAUAGCUUGACACUGAACACUGGUCCUUGAUGUGUAGGAUAGGUGGGAGGCUUUGAAGCGUGGACGCCAGUCUGCGUGGAGCCAACCUUGAAAUACCACCCUUUAAUGGCUGGUGUUCUAACGUAGACCCGUAAUCCGGGUUGCGGACAGUGUCUGGUGGGUAGUUUGACUGGGGCGGUCUCCUCCCAAAGAGUAACGGAGGAGCACGAAGGUUGGCUAAUCCUGGUCGGACAUCAGGAGGUUAGUGCAAUGGCAUAAGCCAGCUUGACUGCGAGCGUGACGGCGCGAGCAGGUGCGAAAGCAGGUCAUAGUGAUCCGGUGGUUCUGAAUGGAAGGGCCAUCGCUCAACGGAUAAAAGGUACUCCGGGGAUAACAGGCUGAUACCGCCCAAGAGUUCAUAUCGACGGCGGUGUUUGGCACCUCGAUGUCGGCUCAUCACAUCCUGGGGCUGAAGUAGGUCCCAAGGGUAUGGCUGUUCGCCAUUUAAAGUGGUACGCGAGCUGGGUUUAGAACGUCGUGAGACAGUUCGGUCCCUAUCUGCCGUGGGCGCUGGAGAAUUGAGGGGGGCUGCUCCUAGUACGAGAGGACCGGAGUGGACGCAUCACUGGUGUUCGGGUUGUCAUGCCAAUGGCACUGCCCGGUAGCUAAAUGCGGAAGAGAUAAGUGCUGAAAGCAUCUAAGCACGAAACUUGCCCCGAGAUGAGUUCUCCCUGAGACUUUAAGUCUCCUGAAGGAACGUUGAAGACUACGACGUUGAUAGGUCGGGUGUGUAAGCGCAGCGAUGCGUUGAGCUAACCGAUACUAAUGAACCGUGAGGCUUAACCUU
RNAcentral lists this ribosomal RNA (2906 nucleotides) under Enterobacter hormaechei. Its description in RNAcentral is "23S ribosomal RNA". It matches the Rfam family "Bacterial large subunit ribosomal RNA". Lineage: Bacteria; Pseudomonadati; Pseudomonadota; Gammaproteobacteria; Enterobacterales; Enterobacteriaceae. The record is from RNAcentral.